GGCACUGUGGCUUAGUUGGCUAAACCACCUGUCUUGUAAACUGGAGAUCCUGUGUUCAAAUCCCAGCAGUGCCU
RNAcentral lists this transfer RNA (74 nucleotides) under Ameiurus melas (black bullhead). It matches the Rfam family "tRNA". Rfam says of the family: Transfer RNA (tRNA) molecules are approximately 80 nucleotides in length. Their secondary structure includes four short double-helical elements and three loops (D, anti-codon, and T loops). Lineage: Eukaryota; Metazoa; Chordata; Actinopteri; Siluriformes; Ictaluridae. The record is from Rfam by way of RNAcentral.